This 529-nucleotide ribosomal RNA is filed under the name uncultured Rhodanobacter sp. RNAcentral's name for it is "bacterial SSU rRNA". It matches the Rfam family "Bacterial small subunit ribosomal RNA", at positions 381 to 902 of the family's 1533-position model. Lineage: Bacteria; Pseudomonadati; Pseudomonadota; Gammaproteobacteria; Lysobacterales; Rhodanobacteraceae. The record is from RNAcentral.
GCCUGAUCCAGCAAUGCCGCGUGUGUGAAGAAGGCUUCGGGUUGUAAAGCACUUUUAUCAGGAACGAAAUACCACGGGUUAAUAACCUAUGGGGCUGACGGUACCUGAGGAAUAAGCACCGGCUAACUUCGUGCCAGCAGCCGCGGUAAUACGAAGGGUGCAAGCGUUAAUCGGAAUUACUGGGCGUAAAGGGUGCGUAGGCGGUUGUUUAAGUCUGUCGUGAAAUCCCCGGGCUCAACCUGGGAAUGGCGAUGGAUACUGGGCAGCUAGAGUGUGUCAGAGGAUGGUGGAAUUCCCGGUGUAGCGGUGAAAUGCGUAGAGAUCGGGAGGAACAUCAGUGGCGAAGGCGGCCAUCUGGGACAACACUGACGCUGAAGCACGAAAGCGUGGGGAGCAAACAGGAUUAGAUACCCUGGUAGUCCACGCCCUAAACGAUGCGAACUGGAUGUUGGUCUCAACUCGGAGAUCAGUGUCGAAGCUAACGCGUUAAGUUCGCCGCCUGGGGAGUACGGUCGCAAGACUGAAACUC